UUGCUCUCUGUUUUCUCUACCUUUCCAGACAAUCAGCAGUGACACUCCAAUAUUUGAAAGAGAGUAUACCUACAUGAUUAAUACUACUGCUGUGCAAGCUCUUCCCACAACCACACUAGUGAUAACUCCUGGUGUCUACCUGCAGUCACUGAAAUAUUUCUACUUUUCCCAAGGUAGCUGCAAUGAGAGCAGAGGGAUUUGCAAACAGCAGUGUGUGAGAUGAGGAGGCUGUGCUGACAGCUAUGGGUGAGGUUCUGCUCUUUCUGUGUGAUCGAAGGUACAUAUCUGUCAGGGUGGCCAUGGAUACUGUCAACUGCAAGGUGUGAAACUUCUACAGUCUGUAGCUACAGUGUGUAAAUUGUUUCCUGCCACUCUAUAGAAUUUUUCUCCCUUAAUGAUAUGGAAGGAGAUAACUACUCACAGUGCUGACAGAGAACUUGAUGAGAGUUCCUACAAUCACUAGGAACCUGAGAUUAAACUUCUCCCCUGAUCCUCCAUCCCUGGGAGAGAUGGGAAAGAGCUUGAGUGAAAGAAUCUAACAAAUUUUGAUACCUGCAAUGGCAACUGGAAAAUACAUACUGUGGAUUUGGGGUGCAAGUGGAACAAUUUUUUUGCAUUUAAACAUCAUAUCAGUACCAGGCUGUUAAUGAUUUCCACAUCAAGGGAAAGGUAGCAUUCAAGUAUAUUCCGCAGAUAACUAUGCAGUUGAAAAACUGUCCAGAGGUGAUGCCAGUGGAAAAGAUUAAAAGAACAGCUGUGAAGGAAAAGGAACUAAUUUGGAAUGGAAGCUGUACUCAAAAUCACCAUGUCCCAGUAAGGCUGAUCGUGAUUCUUUCUGCUUCAGAUCUGAGCUUCUACAUCUGAGCUACAACAGAAGCUGCAUUCACCAUGGAGAGAGGAAACAUAUUCAAAAAAAGCAAAUAUGUUUAAUGAGAUAUAUAUUUGGAACGAAUUUCUCUGUGAAGCUGAGAAGGAAAUGGCUUUGCCUGAUAGCUCCUCCUGAAGGGACUGUGGCUCAGAGCAGUAUCAUACUUGCCUUCAUCUUUAUAGUGAAGCAAUCCUGGAAGCAGAUAAAGUGGGCUGAACGAACACAGAAGAAAGGUACUAAAUCAAAGGAAGAAAAUAAAGACUGCACAUUCCUGGCCUGUUUUAAUCCAUGUUCAUUGGGAUAUCUCAUAUGAAAUUUAGCAGCACACUGUUAAUCAGGGUAGACUGAAACCAGUUUCAGAGUGAGCAGUUCCCUGGGGAAUAGC
RNAcentral lists this long non-coding RNA (1253 nucleotides) under Anas platyrhynchos platyrhynchos (common mallard). RNAcentral's name for it is "lncRNA (ENSAPLG00000025693.1)". Lineage: Eukaryota; Metazoa; Chordata; Aves; Anseriformes; Anatidae. The record is from RNAcentral.